This 717-nucleotide ribosomal RNA is filed under the name Triticum aestivum (bread wheat). RNAcentral describes it as "partial small subunit ribosomal RNA". The record is from RNAcentral. Lineage: Eukaryota; Viridiplantae; Streptophyta; Magnoliopsida; Poales; Poaceae.
AUGACUAUGGUAGCGAGAGAGAUCUUUGACAUUGUAGGCAUUGUUGUUGUAGCAUUCAAGCACCUUGAAGGGUUCCAUCGGCUCAUGGACGAAGUUUGGACUUUUCAUUGGGGAACGGUCCUUGCGAAGGGCGAGCAUAAGCGCGACAAGGAGGAACCUGCCCAGGAAGCGCGGGUGAUUGAUGGAGGCCCCGAGGUGGUCGUCGAGGAAGUAAACCCGGUGGAGGACGGGUUGCCGAGAGCGGGGGAGCCACCCAUCCGGCCACCGCGGGCACGGAACUCCAACCGCCCUUGUCCGGCCUCCCCCGAUUCUUCAACGACGGCAAACGUAGCUAACACUCAUCUGUCUCUCGCCACCACCACCAUGCCUCGUCCGGGCAACGCCCACGUCGCCUCUCUCCCGCGUGCUCCCAAGAUCCAGACCGAGAAGAUCGGGGGAGAUGGGGCUGGAGGAGGUGGAGUUUGGGGCGGGAUAUGGAGAGGGCACGAGUGCGGGAGAAGCCGCUGGCGGGGGCGGUUCAGUCGCCGGCACCGAAGGAGCCGGGGUGGGCUGAUUGGGGCGAGGAAGCUACAGAAGGAGGGCGCCUUCUCCGGUGGUUGGCGCUGGAGGAGCAUGGACGAUGGAGAUGACUGGUGGCGACGUGACGGCAACCCUAGCGGCCUAGCCUCCAGCCGAAGGUGGAAAGGAGAGGGGUUGGAGAAGAAAAUGCCAGCCUGA